CUGCCCCCUAGCUUUAAGAGGUUAAUUGAAGGACUAAUGAAUCACUACGGUAUGGACUAACAUCUAGUUGAUAAAAGACUAAUGAAUCACUAUGGUAUGGACUAACAUCUAGUUGUUAAAGGACUAAUGAAUCACUAUGAUAUGGAGUAACAUCUAGUUGAGAAAGGACUAAUGAAUCACUAUGGUAUGGACUAACAUCUAAUUGAUAAAGGACUAAUGAAUCACUAUGGUAUGGACUAACAUCUAGUUGUUAAAGGACUAAUGAAUCACUAUGGUAUGGAGUAACAUCUAGUUGUUAAAGGACUAAUGAAUCACUAUGGUAUGGACUAACAUCUAGUUGAUAAAGGACUAAUGAAUCACUAUGGUAUGGAGUAACAUCUAGUUGAUAAAGGACUAAUGAAUCACUAUGGUAUGUAGUAACAUCUAGUUGAUAAAGGACUAAUGAAUCACUAUGGUAUGGAGUAACAUCUAGUUGAUAAAGGACUAAUGAAUCACUAUGGUAUGGAGUAACAUCUAGUUGAUAAAGGACUAAUGAAUCACUAUGGUAUGUAGUAACAUCUAGUUGAUAAAGGACUAAUGAAUCACUAUGGUAUGUAGUAACAUCUAGUUGAUAAAGGACUAAUGAAUCACUAUGGUAUGGAGUAACAUCUAGUUGAUAAAGGACUAAUGAAUCACUAUGGUAUGGACUAACAUCUAAUUGAUAAAGGACUAAUGAAUCACUAUGGUAUGGAGUAACAUCUAGUUGUUAAAGGACUAAUGAAUCACUAUGAUAUGGAGUAACAUCUAGUUGAUAAAGGACUAAUGAAUCACUAUGGUAUGGACUAACAUCUAAUUGAUAAAGGACUAAUGAAUCACUAUGAUAUGGAGUAACAUCUAGUUGUUAAAGGACUAAUGAAUCACUAUGAUAUGGAGUAACAUCUAGUUGAUAAAGGACUAAUGAAUCACUAUGGUAUGGAGUAACAUCUAGUUGUUAAAGGACUAAUGAAUCACUAUGAUAUGGAGUAACAUCUAGUUGAUAAAGGACUAAUGAAUCACUAUGGUAUGGACUAACAUCUAAUUGAUAAAGGACUAAUGAAUCACUAUGGUAUGGACUAACAUCUAGUUGUUAAAGGACUAAUGAAUCACUAUGGUAUGGAGUAACAUCUAGUUGAUAAAGGACUAAUGAAUCACUAUGGUAUGGAGUAACAUCUAGUUGAUAAAGGACUAAUGAAUCACUAUGGUAUGGACUAACAUCUAGUUGAUAAAGGACUAAUGAAUCACUAUGGUAUGGACUAACAUCUAGUUGAUAAAGGACUAAUGAAUCACUAUGGUAUGGAGUAACAUCUAGUUGUUAAAGGACUAAUGAAUCACUAUGAUAUGGAGUAACAUCUAGUUGAUAAAGGACUAAUGAAUCACUAUGGUAUGGACUAACAUCUAAUUGAUAAAGGACUAAUGAAUCACUAUGGUAUGGACUAACAUCUAGUUGUUAAAGGACUAAUGAAUCACUAUGGUAUGGAGUAACAUCUAGUUGAUAAAGGACUAAUGAAUCACUAUGGUAUGGAGUAACAUCUAGUUGAUAAAGGACUAAUGAAUCACUAUGGUAUGGACUAACAUCUAGUUGAUAAAGGACUAAUGAAUCACUAUGGUAUGGACUAACAUCUAGUUGAUAAAGGACUAAUGAAUCACUAUGGUAUGGAGUAACAUCUAAUUGAUAAAGGACUAAUGAAUCACUAUGGUAUAGACUAACAUCUAGUUGAUAAAGGACUAAUGAAUCACUAUGGUAUGGAGUAACAUCUAGUUGUUAAAGGACUAAUGAAUCACUAUGGUAUGGACUAACAUCUAGUUGAUAAAGGACUAAUGAAUCACUAUGGUAUGGAGUAACAUCUAGUUGAUAAAGGACUAAUGAAUCACUAUGGUAUGGACUAACAUCUAGUUGAUAAAGGACUAAUGAAUCACUAUGGUAUGGAGUAACAUCUAGUUGAUAAAGGACUAAUGAAUCACUAUGGUAUGGACUAACAUCUAGUUGAUAAAGGACUAAUGAAUCACUAUGGUAUGGAGUAACAUCUAGUUGUUAAAGGACUAAUGAAUCACUAUGGUAUGGAGUAACAUCUAGUUGAUAAAGGACUAAUGAAUCACUAUGGUAUGGAGUAACAUCUAGUUGUUAAAGGACUAAUGAAUCACUAUGGUAUACAUCUAGUUGAUAAAGGACUAAUGAAUCACUAUGGUAUGGAGUAACAUCUAGUUGAUAAAGGACUAAUGAAUCACUAUGGUAUGGAGUAACAUCUAGUUGAUAAAGGACUAAUGAAUCACUAUGGUAUGGACUAACAUCUAGUUGUUAAAGGACUAAUGAAUCACUAUGGUAUGGAGUAACAUCUAGUUGUUAAAGGACUAAUGAAUCACUAUGGUAUGGAGUAACAUCUAGUUGAUAAAGGACUAAUGAAUCACUAUGGUAUGGACUAACAUCUAGUUGUUAAAGGACUAAUGAAUCACUAUGGUAUGGAGUAACAUCUAGUUGAUAAAGGACUAAUGAAUCACUAUGGUAUGGAGUAACAUCUAGUUGUUAAAGGACAAAUGAAUCACUGUGGUAUGGAGUAACAUCUAGUUGUUAAAGGACUAAUGAAUCACUAUGGUAUGGACUAACAUCUAGUUGAUAAAGGACUAAUGAAUCACUAUGGUAUGGAGUAACAUCUAGUUGUUAAAGGACUAAUGAAUCACUAUGGUAUGGUGAAGCAGUGUGUAAUAGAUUGAUAAUUGACAUGAUGAUAAAUAGGAGAGAGGGAAGAUUUGUGUAUUGUAAAAAGUUUAUUUUGUUGAAUUAUUCUAUUGGAAAAUGUAUUUAGAUGUCUUGUUUUCGACCCAAAUCAAUAAACAUAGUAAACAGCAUCAUCUUAGUUAAUUUAUUCAUUUACUAGACCUACUGUUGACCAAUAAUAACUUGUGUUUGGGAUGACAAAUCACUUAUAUUAUUAGGCCAAAAAAACAUGAAUGAGAGUUAGAAAUAAAGCACAGAACAGAAUGAACAAGGAAUGAAGAG
Non-coding RNA from Oncorhynchus mykiss (rainbow trout), 3013 nucleotides. The record is from RefSeq and is a predicted model, not a curated record. Lineage: Eukaryota; Metazoa; Chordata; Actinopteri; Salmoniformes; Salmonidae.